Dermochelys coriacea (leatherback sea turtle) is the source of this 2567-nucleotide RNA transcript. It is a transcript of the gene named ADP ribosylation factor like GTPase 6, with no coding region annotated. NCBI's taxonomy places the organism in Eukaryota, Metazoa, Chordata, Testudines, Dermochelyidae. The transcript has 8 exons. The record is from RefSeq and is a predicted model, not a curated record.
CUUGUUUGCUUUAGCGGGAUAGCAAAUAAAGUUUUAAGCAGUUCAGAGAUUGCUUGAGAAUAUGCUCAUCUGGCAUCUAAGACUUUUGAGUCUUCUGAAGCCCCUCUCUCCUUUGUGUCAUCACUCUGCACGUUUCCUGCCUGCAUGGACCAGUGGGCUUAGGCAAGGGUAUGGGAUCUGCUUCUAAGACCUUGAUAGUGUCUCCCUCCUUUGUGCCUGGGGCUGUUGCCUUUCACUGCCAGCACCAUCAAGUUCCCCCAGCUAUUGAGGUGGUCUCUGUGCAUUGAAUCAGAAUCAUGGGAUUGUUUGAUAAGCUAGCAGGAUGGCUUGGUCUGAAGAAGAAGGAGGUUCAUGUUUUGUGCCUUGGGUUGGACAAUAGUGGCAAAACAACUAUUAUUAAUAAACUUAAACCUUCAAAUGCUCAAACUCAAGACAUAGUUCCAACAAUAGGAUUCAGUAUAGAAAAAUUCAAGACAUCCAGUUUGUCUUUCACAGUGUUUGACAUGUCCGGUCAAGGCAGAUACAGAAACCUGUGGGAACAUUACUACAAAGAAGGCCAAGCCAUUAUUUUUGUCAUUGAUAGCAGUGAUAAAUUAAGAAUGGUUGUGGCCAAAGAAGAACUUGACACCCUCCUGACUCAUCCAGAUAUCAAACACCGUAGAAUACCUAUCUUGUUCUUUGCUAACAAGAUGGACCUCAGGGAUGCAGUAUCAUCUGUGAAAGUCUCUCAGUUACUGUCUUUAGAGAACAUCAAAGAUAAACCAUGGCAUAUCUGUGAACCUUCUGCAUUUGCAAUGGCCAUUGACCAGAAGAAGUCCUUUGCCAAGCAUGCUGCUUCCUGAUUGCAGGAACACAGCCAGAUUUUGGUGAAUCUCUGGAGUGAGGCAAGCAAAAUAUUUUUGAUUUUUAAGAAGAAUACCAUGAAGCUGGCAACAUUGGGGUUUCACUGGCCUGGUCACCAAUGCAGGGAUUGGAUUAAGUGGCUCAAGACUGACUACCAGGAAGCCAGGGAUGAGAACAUCACCUCUGUCAUCCUGCCUCGCUUACAAGGAGUUUGUCAAGGUGCUGGAUAUUGUGCUGAGCAUGGAACCAGCAAGAGGGGGAGGGAUAGCUCAGUGGUUUGAGUAUUGGCGUGGUAAACCCAGGGUUGUGAGUUCAAUCCUUGAAGGGGCCAUUUAGGGAUCUGGGGCAGAUAUUGGGGAUUGGCCCUGCUUUGAGCAGGGGGUUGGAUUAGAUCUUCCUUCCAUCCCUGAUAUUCUAUGAUCAUAUGUUUAAUACUUCACAAUGCCCUGAUCAGCUGGGAUGGUGACCUUCUGACUCCUGAAUCCAGUAUAGGACUGGAGGGGAGUUAGUAGAUGCUGGAUCAGGCUGAUGAAGUGACACUGGUGCUGGAACUGGUCCCUGAGGAGGCUUUGCCACUGGAGCAGCUACAGCAUAUCCUGAGUCCUUCCUCCGAGGAGCAUUUUGAUGCCCCCCAAGGAGCAAUCUGCUGCAGAACUGGCAGGAAAACCAGAAGAGACAGUACUCAGCCUGGAACUUGUAUUUCUACUGGCUGUUGUACCUUGGUAGCUUUCGCUCACUCCACUGGAAGCCUGGGUUUCCAUACCAUCAUACACCAGUCCUAGAGGAAGCAUUCCCAUGAUGAAUUUAUUAUCGACAUUCUGGACAGGGACAAUAAAUAAGUCCAAUACCAAAGAGAGAAGAAUUCAUUUAAAGUGGAGAGGCAAGUGGAAAGGCACAGGCAGGCUGCAGAGAUGAGGACAGAAUUACAGCGUGGGAGCAGAUACUUGCAUCGUAGUUCCUGGAAGAGGAACGUUGGUUAAGGGUGGAAGACUAAGUGUAGCAGAACAACCAGUUUGAGUAAUGGCUGCUUUUGCUGAUAGUUGCAAGAGUGCAGGCUCCUGCCAUGUUUAUACUGUGACCUGAGUCUCUUUCAUGGUACCUUUUUCAGAGUAGCAGCCAUGUUAGUCUGUAUCUGCAAAAAGAAAAGGAGUACUUGUGGCACCUUAGAGACUAACAAAUUUAUUAGAGCAUAAGCUUUCGUGAGCUACAGCCAAAGUGAGCUGUAGCUCAUGAAAGCUUAUGCUCUAAUAAAUUUGUUAGUCUCUAAGGUGCCACAAGUACUCCUUUUCUUCCUUCAUGGUACCGUGUGCUGCAUACCAGGGUCGCUUUGAACAAUUUCAUGAUUGGCUGGCCCAUGCAACUGGGACUUAAUAGCAUCUUUACUGGGUAAAUCUACCCCUGUGUACUUCCACCCCGUGCAGAUCUUCUCCCUCUUGCAGUCUGCCACUCUCCUGCAGGCCUCUAUGCCCAUGCAGCAAUGGCAAGUGAGUGGUAAAUGCACAAGAGAGGAAGAAGAAAACUUAACAGGUGACGCACACAAUUGGAGGAUUUACUGACAGCACUGAUUGCAUUGUUCAGUGUUGCAUGCACUUUGUUUUAUUACUGGUUGUGGUAUUGGUUUGUUACUGUUGUUUCAGUAUUCUAAUGGUAGCAGGCCUGCCUGGCAAUACUUUAAUAUUGUUAUUUUUAUAAUACAAAUAAAGGCUUUUAUUUUAUUUAAAAAA